UUCACACGCCGGUAAUUGAACCAGGGCCUUCUGUGUAAAAGCCAGAUAUCCUAGACUACACUAGACUACAUGGGA
This is a non-coding RNA of Cordylochernes scorpioides, 75 nucleotides long. Lineage: Eukaryota; Metazoa; Arthropoda; Arachnida; Pseudoscorpiones; Chernetidae. The record is from the annotation of a GenBank genome assembly.